This 380-nucleotide ribosomal RNA is filed under the name uncultured eukaryote. RNAcentral's name for it is "partial 18S ribosomal RNA". It matches the Rfam family "Eukaryotic small subunit ribosomal RNA", at positions 592 to 976 of the family's 1831-position model. The record is from RNAcentral.
CAAUAGCGUAUAUUAAAGUUGUUGCAGUUAGAACGCUCGUAGUCGGAUUUCGGGGCGGGUCGACCGGUCUGCCGAUGGGUACGCACUGGCCGACGCGUCCUUUUUGCCGGAGACCGUCCCUACUCUUAACUGAGCGGGGUCGGGAGACGGCACUUUUACCUUGAAAAAAUCAGAGUGUUUCAAGCAGGCAGCUCGCUCUUGCAUGGAUUAGCAUGGGAUAAUGAAAUAGGACUUUGGUGCUAUUUUGUUGGUUUCGAACACCGAAGUAAUGAUGAGAAGGGACAGUCAGGGGCACUCGUAUUCCGCCGAGAGAGGUGAAAUUCUCAGACCAGCGGAAGACGAACCACUGCGAAAGCAUUUGCCAGGGAUGUUUUCACUGA